Molecule: non-coding RNA, 71 nt
Organism: Bos taurus (domestic cattle)
Lineage: Eukaryota; Metazoa; Chordata; Mammalia; Artiodactyla; Bovidae
Source: Rfam
UCCCUGAUAUUUCAGUUGGUAAGAAUCUGCCUGCAAUGCAGGGGACCCUGGUUUGAUUCCUGGGUAGGGAA